This is an RNA transcript of Orussus abietinus, 1088 nucleotides long. It is a transcript of the gene named enoyl-CoA hydratase domain-containing protein 3, mitochondrial, with no coding region annotated. NCBI's taxonomy places the organism in Eukaryota, Metazoa, Arthropoda, Insecta, Hymenoptera, Orussidae. The transcript is spliced from 7 exons. The record is from RefSeq and is a predicted model, not a curated record.
CGCUCCUGAGACUUCGGAGAAUUAAUUCGAGCAUGUCCUAUCCUAACGAGAGCGUGGAGCGACGAGAACGCAGAUCUCCGGAAGAUUCCCCCGACAGGUGGCGAUCAUGGUGGGACUGCCGAGAUUGGCUUACGUCGGUUCGAAGGUGGGACGAUCUAUUACAAGGACGUUCUCGACAAACAGAAUACUAAAGAGCCAAGAGAAGUACGUGGACACGAAGCAGAGUAACGGGGUGAGAACCAUAACACUGAAUCAUGCAGGGAGUCGGAACUCCCUGUCGCUGGAGAUGAUGAAAAUUCUGCUGUAUAAUAUUACGAGGGAUCAGAAUAAUCAAGAGCUCCGAUCCAUCGUCAUAGAUGCCGCUCCAGGGAAAGUAUUUUCAGCUGGGCACAAUCUAAAAGAGUUGACGGCUGAGUAUGGCAAGGAUCAUCAUCAGGAAGUGUUCUCGACGUGUGAAGAGUUGAUGCGUUGCAUCGUACAAUGCCCUGUUCCUGUAGUUGCUGCGGUCGAUGGUCUAGCGGCUGCAGCCGGUUGUCAAUUGGUUGCAGCAUGUGAUGUGGCUGUUUGCAGCGAGAGGAGCAGCUUCUCGACACCGGGGGCUAAUUUCGGAAUCUUCUGCUCGACGCCUGGAGUGCCACUUGUACGUAACGUACCGAAAAAAGUCGCCGCGUGGAUGCUCUUCACGGGACUGCCAAUUUCGGCACGAGAAGCUCAUCAAGCAGGUCUCGUGAGCAAAGUAGUGACAAACGGGGAACUCGAGGAAGAAGUGCAGGGAAUUACUGCGGCAAUAAACGCAAAAAGCCGAUCCGUAAUAAGCUUAGGUAAACGAUUCUUCUACGAGCAAUUGGACCUCGACGCGUUAACGGCGUACGCCCUGGGAACGGAGAUAAUGGUCGGGAAUUUACAAUUGUGGGACGCACAAGAAGGGAUUAGAAGCUUCAUAGAAAAAAGACAGCCCGAGUGGUCACACACUUAUGAGAAAGAAGACUGAAUCGCUGUAUUAAUAUUGACUAUGUAAUACGUAUGCGGUGGUUGUUUUCAGAUUUUACUUACCGCCAUGGUCGUGACGCGGUACAGAUAGUAGAAGG